GAUGAACGCUGGCGGCGUGCCUAAUACAUGCAAGUCGAGCGAACAGACGAGGAGCUUGCUCCUCUGACGUUAGCGACGGACGGGUGAGUAACACGUGGAUAACCUACCUAUAAGACUGGGAUAACUUCGGGAAACCGGAGCUAAUACCGGAUAAUAUAUUGAACCGCAUGGUGCAAUAGUGAAAGACGGUUUUGCUGUCACUUAUAGAUGGAUCCGCGCCGCAUUAGCUAGUUGGUAAGGUAACGGCUUACCAAGGCAACGAUGCGUAGCCGACCUGAGAGGGUGAUCGGCCACACUGGAACUGAGACACGGUCCAGACUCCUACGGGAGGCAGCAGUAGGGAAUCUUCCGCAAUGGGCGAAAGCCUGACGGAGCAACGCCGCGUGAGUGAUGAAGGUCUUCGGAUCGUAAAACUCUGUUAUUAGGGAAGAACAAAUGUGUAAGUAACUAUGCACGUCUUGACGGUACCUAAUCAGAAAGCCACGGCUAACUACGUG
This 497-nucleotide ribosomal RNA is filed under the name uncultured bacterium. Its description in RNAcentral is "partial 16S ribosomal RNA". It matches the Rfam family "Bacterial small subunit ribosomal RNA", at positions 28 to 507 of the family's 1533-position model. The record is from RNAcentral.